This 467-nucleotide ribosomal RNA is filed under the name uncultured bacterium. Its description in RNAcentral is "partial 16S ribosomal RNA". It matches the Rfam family "Bacterial small subunit ribosomal RNA", at positions 28 to 506 of the family's 1533-position model. The record is from RNAcentral.
GACGAACGCUGGCGGCGUGCUUAACACAUGCAAGUCGAACGGAAAGGCCCUGCUUUUGUGGGGUGCUCGAGUGGCGAACGGGUGAGUAACACGUGAGUAACCUGCCCUUGACUUUGGGAUAACUUCAGGAAACUGGGGGUAAUACCGGAUAGGAGCUCCUGCUGCAUGGUGGGGGUUGGAAAGUUUCGGCGGUUGGGGAUGGACUCGCGGCUUAUCAGCUUGUUGGUGGGGUAGUGGCUUACCAAGGCUUUGACGGGUAGCCGGCCUGAGAGGGUGACCGGCCACAUUGGGACUGAGGUACGGCCCAGACUCCUACGGGAGGCAGCAGUGGGGAAUAUUGCACAAUGGGCGGAAGCCUGAUGCAGCAACGCCGCGUGCGGGAUGACGGCCUUCGGGUGGUAAACCGCUUUCGCCUGUGACGAAGCGUGAGUGACGGUAAUGGGUAAAGAAGCACCGGCUAACUACGU